This 861-nucleotide long non-coding RNA is filed under the name Olea europaea subsp. europaea. The record is from RNAcentral. Lineage: Eukaryota; Viridiplantae; Streptophyta; Magnoliopsida; Lamiales; Oleaceae.
CAUCUAUUAUCGAUGCACGCCAUGUUUCGGGUCCACUAGGGUGAUUCAGAACGGAUCGUAUCACACAAACGGUCAACAAAGUUUAUAAUAUUUCAAUCACUUCUAAUGCAACAAAAAUGUAAACAAAUUUUUUUUUGAAAAAAUUACAAAGAUUUUAUAAAAUUCUUGAGAACACCGAUAAAUCAUAUAUCUUGUAACCGUGAAAUCCUCCUUUGCUGAAUUCGUCCACGACCCUCAAACCCUUCUCCUUCAGUACCUUGGCAAGCUCAAUUUGACGGUCGAAGAGUAGAUCUCCCUCACAUCCUGUGAUCAAGAUUUUCUACCCUUGCUUCUUGAUACGUUCCAGAACCUCUGAUUUCAUUCCCACCGUUAGAUUACAAUACUCGUGAUCACGGUAAACACCUAUUGGCAAUGCCAGCUCUGGGGUAAAACGAUACUCCGAUCACACUAUCACUGUCGGUAUUUCAAUCGCCACUUUUCAGCAAAAUUCAUGAAACAUGGUACUAGUUGCACUGAGUAGGACUAACCCGCCACCAUGGUAGUACACUGUAACCGACAGUUUCUCAGUCGGGUCAGAAUCGAAUACUUUACGAGGAAAGAAUACACAGACCCAAGUUGUGUUUGAUUCAUUAACAGGGAUGUCCUUGAUUAGAACUAGACUAGAAUCAUUAGGAUUAGAACAAGUAGGAGUAGUGGUUGAAAUUUCAAAUAUACAUGUGAUAGAUUCGUCGGGGUUUUUGGCCAUGCCUAUAUAGCCAUAUGGAUAAACAAUCGGGUCCAUUUGAUUCGAUAUGGUAGAGUGGUGAUGCAGUUGACUUGGUGUGGAUGAAGAUUUUGAAGUAUUCUUAAUUAUAAGUGAAG